RNAcentral lists this unclassified non-coding RNA (266 nucleotides) under Hevea brasiliensis (rubber tree). The record is from RNAcentral. Lineage: Eukaryota; Viridiplantae; Streptophyta; Magnoliopsida; Malpighiales; Euphorbiaceae.
UAGAAGGAUGGUUUGGAUAUCACUGGUGGAACGGCCGUUUUUUCGUUCUUUUGUUGACAACCCUUGUAAUAUUUGCUCCAUUGGUGAGCUUUAAGCAUGUAGAUUCACUGAGAUACACAUCGGCCUUGUCUGUUGCUCUAGCGGUUGUUUUCGUUGUGAUUACUGCCGGAAUCACUCUCGUCAAACUGCUAAAUGGAAGCAUACCAAUGCCCAGAUUGCUUCCUAAUAUACCUGAUUUGGCGGCUGUCUGGAACCUUUUCACAGUA